Long non-coding RNA from Rattus norvegicus (Norway rat), 2266 nucleotides. RefSeq lists it as uncharacterized. The record is from RefSeq and is a predicted model, not a curated record. Lineage: Eukaryota; Metazoa; Chordata; Mammalia; Rodentia; Muridae.
AGGAAUGCCUGACUCACAAUAAAAGGGACUUCUUUUCCCUUCCUGCCUCUCUUGCUCUCUUGCUCUUGUCUUCCUGCUCCUGCAUCUCUAAAUUUCUUCUCUCUCUCUCUCUCUCUCUCUCUCUCUCUCUCUCUCUCUCUCUCUCUCUCUCUCUCUCUCUCUCUCCUUACCCUUACAACUCCUCUCCCCAUACCCUAAAUAAACUCUAUACUAUCCUGUGGUGUGGCUGGCCCCACAGGGGAAAUCUAAAUGAAAUAAAAUGAGGGGGAGACAGAGCCCCAAAAGGAAAUCUUCCAUCUUAAAAAGAAACCUUCCACUACUGACAGCGGGUUAUGUCUAAUCAAGUUUUUGACGAAAGGGGUUCCAUGGGACUCCCUACCCAAUCCAGACCAUUGCCAAGGAUGUUGGUUGCCCUCCACACACCAAUGGUAAGGCCCCGAUGCUGAAGAAACACCUACACAACUCACUGUGGUGGAGUUGGUGCCACUUAGAGCCCUCCCACUGACGAGCAUGUAUGGUACUGGAAGGUAUGUUGCACAUUAUCAACGGAGGAAGGUAAACACCAAACCAGCUACAAACUCUUCCCAUCUGCAUUGGGAAACUGCCUACACGAUGUGCUAUUGCAAUAGCAUCACAACUUUUGUGAGAAUAGCCAGCCAAUGUCUGAUUGGAUUCAAAUCCUACUCCAUGAGACUAAACCCCAUCCAUACAAGGCACUGCCUGGGUGGUCAAGAAACCGAGAUGAGACAGCCCAGGGUUCCAGGGGAAAACCCAAUACUACUUAUCUGCUAAGGGAAUGUCCACUUAGAGUGACUUAUGACAUUCUGCUAUACUUGUAAAUCAGUGCUUUGCUCAUCCAUCAUCAGAGAACUUUCCUCCUGCAGCAGAUGAGAACAAAGACAGAGACCAACACCCAGACAAUGUGCAGAGUGAGAGCCUUGGAACCAUCAGUCCUAAAGGUGAUGCUCAUCAAAUCCCUUCCCCCCAGGGUUCAGGGAAUUCUGCAGAAGACGUGGCAGAAAGGGCAUAAGAGCCAGAGGCAACGGAAGGCACCAAGGAAACAAGGCUUUCUAAAAACAUCAGGAUUGGUGGGUGAAUGGACUCACAGAAACUAGCGCAGCAUGCGAAGAUCCUUCACACGUCUGCACUACAUGGGGUCUCAAUGCCGGGCAGACAAGUGGACACAAGCCCCUUUCCUACCCAGAACUUAUCUCUAAUUGAUAAUCACUUGCAAAUGGAAAAUUAGUUUUUUUCUAAUGGAAUGUCAUAGGGACGAGAACUACUUUUAAGAUGCCUGUUGGUUUCCUAAGGAGAUACAGAAAAGUGUGGAUCUGAAGAGGAGAAGAAGAGUUGAAGUUAUGGGAGGGGAAACCAUAUCAGAAUAUAUUGUAUAAAAUAUAUUUCAAUAAAAGAAAAAUAGGAAAAGAAAAGAAAUGUAGACAAACCCCCUACACUUAAUAGCAAUCUUUCAGAUGCAAUUUCAGAGCCAGCAUGAUUUACAUGAUUACUGUUCAGUGGUUAACUAACACUCUUCUCUGAGAAUUCUAUUUUCAACAACAAAGAAGUUACUUUACAUACCAAACUUAUACUAAACAGGGGAUGACACAUCUCCAAUAUCUGAAAUUAGCCAUAGCCAAUAAGACACCGGUGGAACUAAUGUAAAAGAAUGAGUGUGUCAGUGGUUAAGUUUCUGUCACUGAAGGAGCCUAUUCAGUUAUCAGUAAAAUGACUUCAGAUCAUAAAAACACUCUUACUCAACAAUCCAGGAAGCACUUGCUUGGAGCCCAGUUUUUCUACUCUUCUUCGUCCCCAUGACCCUGAAGCCAUUCCAAAUCCCCCCCCCCAUUUUUUAUUAAUAGCAGGUCAUUGGCAUCCUCACUUUAUAUGACUCAAUAACGACUCUCUUCUGCUCUUCCACUCCACAUGAACUCUAAAACCCCUUUCCAUUUAAUCCUUAGCCUCUGUUUUCCCUUGACACAUUUACAACCUCAUGAUAGUAUUUUAUUCUUUCCUUCUCAGUGUCUUGAUUUUAAAAUAAGCUGAGCUUAAUCCUUCAUGUUAUUGAUCAGCAAAGAAAACAUCCUCCAAGGAAGUUAAAUAGAUUUUCCAGGGACCAAAAUAUUACCUGUUUUAUGUGUCUUCCAAUUUUAAAAUGAUGCAAUACUCCAAUCUCAUUUCAUGUUACCCCAAACCUUCACUCGAUGUGUUUGUCUGCUUUCUAAAGCUGUGUCAAAUAUCUGGAAAAUAAAGUUUGCUUUGACUCUCA